RNAcentral lists this ribosomal RNA (864 nucleotides) under uncultured Peptococcaceae bacterium. RNAcentral describes it as "bacterial SSU rRNA". It matches the Rfam family "Bacterial small subunit ribosomal RNA", at positions 109 to 985 of the family's 1533-position model. Lineage: Bacteria; Bacillati; Bacillota; Clostridia; Eubacteriales; Peptococcaceae. The record is from RNAcentral.
UGUAACGCGUGGAUAACCUGCCCUUUAGACCGGGAUAACGCCGGGAAACCGGUGCUAAUACCGGGUACGUUCAGCUGGCUGCAUGGGCAGCUGAGGAAAGGAGCAAUCCGCUAAAGGAUGGGUCCGCGUCCCAUUAGCUUGUUGGUAGGGUAACGGCCUACCAAGGCGACGAUGGGUAGCCGGCCUGAGAGUGCGACCGGCCACACUGGAACUGAGACACGGUCCAGACUCCUACGGGAGGCAGCAGUGGGGAAUCUUCCGCAAUGGGCGCAAGCCUGACGGAGCAACGCCGCGUGAGUGACGAAGGUCUUCGGAUUGUAAAACUCUGUCCAGAGGGAAGAAGGAAGUGACGGUACCUCUGGAGGAAGCCCCGGCUAACUACGUGCCAGCAGCCGCGGUAAAACGUAGGGGGCGAGCGUUGUCCGGAAUUACUGGGCGUAAAGGGCGUGUAGGCGGCUUGGUAAGUCAGUCGUGAAACCUACCGGCUCAACCGGUAGCUGGCGAUUGAAACUGCCGGGCUUGAGUGCAGUAGAGGGGAGUGGAAUUCCCAGUGUAGCGGUGAAAUGCGUAGAUAUUGGGAGGAACACCAGUGGCGAAAGCGGCUCCCUGGCCUGUAACUGACGCUGAGGCGCGAAAGCGUGGGUAGCAAACAGGAUUAGAUACCCUGGUAGUCCACGCCGUAAACGAUGGGUGCUAGGUGUUGGGGGUAUCGACCCCUCCAGUGCCGCAGUUAACGCAAUAAGCACCCCGCCUGGGGAGUACGGGCCGCAAGGCUGAAACUCAAGGAAUUGACGGGGGCCCGCACAAGCGGUGGAGUAUGUGGUUUAAUUCGACGCAACGCGAAGAACCUUACCAGGUCUUGAC